Molecule: ribosomal RNA, 484 nt
Filed under: uncultured bacterium
Lineage: Bacteria
Description: partial 16S ribosomal RNA
Rfam family: Bacterial small subunit ribosomal RNA
Source: RNAcentral
AUUGAACGCUGGCGGCAGGCCUAACACAUGCAAGUCGAGCGGAUGAAGGGAGCUUGCUCCUGGAUUCAGCGGCGGACGGGUGAGUAAUGCCUAGGAAUCUGCCUUGCAUUGGGGGAUAACGUCCGGAAACGGGCGCUAAUACCGCAUACGUCCAUAGGGAGAAAGGGGGGGAUCUUCGGACCUCACGCUAUCAGAUGAGCCUAGGUCGGAUUAGCUAGUUGGUGAGGUAAGGGCCUACCAAGGCGACGAUCCGUAACUGGUCUGAGAGGAUGAUCAGUCACACUGGAACUGAGACACGGUCCAGACUCCUACGGGAGGCAGCAGUGGGGAAUAUUGGACAAAGGGCGAAAGCCUGAUCCAGCCAUGCCGCGUGUGUGAAGAAGGUCUUCGGAUUGUAAAGCACUUUAAGUUGGGAGGAAGGGCAGUAAGUUAAUACCUUGCUGUUUUGACGUUACCAACAGAAUAAGCACCGGCUAACUUCGUG